GAUGAACGCUGGCGGCGUGCCUAAUACAUGCAAGUCGAGCGAACAGACGAGGAGCUUGCUCCUCUGACGUUAGCGGCGGACGGGUGAGUAACACGUGGAUAACCUACCUAUAAGACUGGGAUAACUUCGGGAAACCGGAGCUAAUCCCGGAUAAUAUAUUGAACCGCAUGGUUCAAUAGUGAAAGACGGUUUUGCUGUCUCUUAUAGAUGGAUCCGCGCCGCAUUAGCUAGUUGGUAAGGUAACGGCUUACCAAGGCAACGAUGCGUAGCCGACCUGAGAGGGUGAUCGGCCACACUGGAGCUGAGACACGGUCCAGACUCCUACGGGAGGCAGCAGUAGGGAAUCUGCCGCAAUGGGCGAAAGCUUGACGGAGCAACGCCGCGUGAGUGAUGAAGGUCUUCGGAUCGUAAAACUCUGUUAUUAGGGAAGAACAAAUGUGUAAGUAACUAUGCACGUCUUGACGGUACCUAAUCAGAAAGCCACGGCUAACUACGUG
Molecule: ribosomal RNA, 497 nt
Filed under: uncultured bacterium
Lineage: Bacteria
Description: partial 16S ribosomal RNA
Rfam family: Bacterial small subunit ribosomal RNA
Source: RNAcentral